This 333-nucleotide long non-coding RNA is filed under the name Triticum aestivum (bread wheat). Its description in RNAcentral is "long non-coding RNA (TAES_LNC022763)". Lineage: Eukaryota; Viridiplantae; Streptophyta; Magnoliopsida; Poales; Poaceae. The record is from RNAcentral.
UAGCUCUCUGUGUUCUGUAUUCUUAUUAGUUCAUAAUCUAGAAUACAUGUAUUCUUAUCAGUUUGUUUAUCUAGCCCGUCGUGCUGUGUAUUCUGGUUAGUACGUGUGUGUAUGUGUUUCCCUUGCAGUGUAUGAGAGGCCGCCCGUGAGGAAGUUGCCAAUCUGGUCGAGGCAUGCUGCUAUUCUCUAUAUCCGGUAGCACAAACAUUUAAAAGUUUGAACACCAAACCCUGGUAAGUUCUUCUUAACAAAAACCCAUUCCUCAUAUUUGUUCCUUUUUUCGUAGGUUGAAGUUAAAACAAGAUGGAGAUGUGUGUAUGUAUACAUGUGUUU